AUGGGAGGAGCUUCGCUGCUGCGUCUAGCGGCCGCCAUGGUCCUCACCGGCUUGGUUUCUCCGCCUGUUGCAGUGGCGGCACGCGCGACGCCGCCACUGCCGGUGCUGCCGAUCCCGACGGCGGCGCAGCUCGCGUGGCAGCGGCGGGAGGUGAUCAUGUUCUUCCACUUCGGGAUGAACACGUUCACGAACUCCGAGCUGGGCACAGGGGAGGAGGACCCGGCCCUGUUCGGCCCCGCCGCGCUCAACGCCAGCCAGUGGAUGGACGCGGCGGCCGCGGCAGGCGCGUCGCUCGCCAUCCUGGUAGCCAAGCACCACGACGGCUUCUGCCUCUGGCCGUCCGCCUACACGGCCCACUCCGUGCGCGCCAGCGGCUGGCGCAGCGGCGCCGGCGACGUGGUGCGCGAGUUCGCCGCCGCGGCGCGCGCACGGGGCGUCGACGCCGGCCUCUACCUCUCGCCGUGGGACCUCCAUGAUCAGCGAUACGGCCGCGAGGUCGCCUACAAUGAGUACUACUUGGCGCAGCUCCACGAGCUCCUCACCGGGUACGGGAGCUUGUCGGAGAUCUGGUUCGACGGCCACAAGGACAAGAACGCGACGAACAUGACGUACCACUUUCAUGAGUGGUUUCAGAUCGUGAGGCAGUUGCAGAGCUCUAGCAUCAUCUUCUCCGACGCCGGCCCCGACGUCCGGUGGGUCGGCAACGAGGACGGGUUCGUCGGAACCACGUGCUGGUCGACCGUCAACCGCUCCAUGAUAACGAUCGGGGCGACCGGCAUCGAGAACUAUCUGAACAACGGCGACCCGUGGGGGACGGAGUGGGUGCCGCCGGAGUGCGACGUGACGAUCCGUCCUGGCUGGUUCUGGCACAAGAACGAGACGGCCAAGACGCUGAGCCAGCUGCUCGAUAUAUACUACACCUCGGUGGGCCGGAACUGCGUGCUGCUGUUGAACGCGCCGCCCAACACCACGGGCCUGGUGGAGGACGCCGACAUCGCCAGGCUCCGCGAGUUCCGUGCCGCCGUGACGCGCAUCUUCGGCACGGACCUCGCCGAUGGCAGCACGGCGAGGGCCAGCAGCGAGCGCGGCAGCGGAUUCGCGGCGGGCAAUGUGCUGGACGGCCGGGACGACACGUACUGGGCGCCGACGGCGGAGGACGAGUACUGGGUCGAGCUGCGGCGGCCGGCGAGAGCGCGAGCGCGCGCGUUCAACGUGGUGAGGAUACAGGAGCACGUGGCGCUGGGGCAGCGGGUGGAGCGGCACGAGGUGUACGUGGACGGCCUGGCCGUGGCCCGCGGCACGACGGUGGGGAGCAAGCGGCUGCACCGGCUGGUCGGACCCGUCGUUGGCCGGACGGUCAAGAUAUGGUUCGCCGCGCGCCGUGGGCCUCCGCUAGUGUCGGCGGUGGGCCUGCAUCUCGACCCUUUCGAAGCCAAUCGUGCGCGCUGA
Molecule: ribosomal RNA, 1449 nt
Filed under: Triticum aestivum (bread wheat)
Lineage: Eukaryota; Viridiplantae; Streptophyta; Magnoliopsida; Poales; Poaceae
Description: partial small subunit ribosomal RNA
Source: RNAcentral